GCUCAUACAGGCGCUUGCUUGAAUAGCUCAUCAUGGAAUAAUGAAACAGGACUUCGGUUCUUUUUGUUGGUUCUAGAAUUGAUCUAAUGGUUAAGAGGGACAAACCGGGGGCAUUCGUAUCAUUACGCGAGAGGUGAAAUUCGUGGACCGUAGUGAGACGCCCAAUAGCGAAAGCAUUUGCCAAGAAUGUCUUCAUUAAUCAAGAACGAAAGUCAGAGGUUCGAAGGCGAUUAGAUACCGCCCUAGUUCUGACCGUAAACGAUGCCAUCUCGCGAUUCGGAGGGUUCAUGCCCUACCGAGGAGCUACCCGGAAACGAAAGUCUUUCGGUUCCGGGGGUAGUAUGGUUGCAAAGCUGAAACUUAAAGAAAUUGACGGAAGGGCACCACAAGGCGUGGAGCUUGCGGCUUAAUUUGACUCAACACGGGAAAACUCACCCGGUCCGGACACUAUUAGGACUGACAGAUUGAAAGCUCUUUCUCGAUUUGGUGGUUGGUGGUGCAUGGCCGUUCUUAGUUGGUGGAGUGAUUUGUCUGGUUUAUUCCGAUAACGAGCGAGACUCUAGCCUGCUAAAUAGUCGACGAAUCUUCGGGUUCGUAUAACUUCUUAGAGGGAUAAGCGGUGUUUAGCCGCACGAGAUUGAGCGAUAACAGGUCUGUGAUGCCCUUAGAUGUCCGGGGCUGCACGCGUGCUACACUGGUGGAGUCAGCGGGUUUUUCCUAUGCCGAAAGGUAUCGGUAAACCGUUGAACUUCUUCCAUGUCCGGGAUAGGGUAUUGUAAUUAUUACCCUUAAACGAGGAAUGCCUAGUAAGUGUGAGUCAUCAGCUCACGUUGAUUACGUCCCUGCCCUUUGUACACACCGCCCGUCGCUAUCCGGGACUGAACUGAUUCGAGAAGAGUGGGGACUGUGGCUGCGAGGUUUUACCACUUCGCAGUUGCGGAAACCAUUUUUAUCGCAUUGGUUUGAACCGGGUAAAAGUCGUAACAAGGUAGCUGUAGGUGAACCUGCAGCUGGAUCAUCG
Molecule: non-coding RNA, 1021 nt
Organism: Caenorhabditis japonica
Lineage: Eukaryota; Metazoa; Nematoda; Chromadorea; Rhabditida; Rhabditidae
Source: Rfam